Molecule: ribosomal RNA, 241 nt
Filed under: uncultured bacterium
Lineage: Bacteria
Description: partial 16S ribosomal RNA
Rfam family: Bacterial small subunit ribosomal RNA
Source: RNAcentral
UACGUAGGGGGCAAGCGUUGUCCGGAUUUACUGGGCGUAAAGAGCGUGUAGGCGGCCAAGCAGGUCCGUUGUGAAAACUCGAGGCUCAACCUCGAGAUGUCGGCGGAAACCACUUGGCUAGAGUCCGGAAGAGGAGAGUGGAAUUCCUGGUGUAGCGGUGAAAUGCGCAGAUAUCAGGAAGAACACCUAUGGCGAAGGCAGCUCUCUGGGACGGUACUGACGCUGAGACGCGAAGCGUGGG